RNAcentral lists this transfer RNA (86 nucleotides) under Flavobacteriales bacterium. Its description in RNAcentral is "tRNA-Tyr". Lineage: Bacteria; Pseudomonadati; Bacteroidota; Flavobacteriia; Flavobacteriales. The record is from RNAcentral.
GGAAGUCCGCCGGAGAUGGUGAGCCGGGCCGGUCCGUAAAACCGGUGCCCUUGCGGGCUGAGCAAGUUCGAGCCUUGCGGCUUCCA